RNAcentral lists this ribosomal RNA (907 nucleotides) under uncultured bacterium. RNAcentral's name for it is "bacterial SSU rRNA". It matches the Rfam family "Bacterial small subunit ribosomal RNA", at positions 1 to 902 of the family's 1533-position model. The record is from RNAcentral.
UUCGCCCUUAGAGUUUGAUCCUGGCUCAGGAUGAACGCUGGCGGCGUGCCUAACACAUGCAAGUCGAACGAAGCUUGACGGAUGAUUUCUUCGGAAUGAAACUAGAUAUGACUUAGUGGCGGACGGGUGAGUAACACGUGAGCAACCUGCCUUUCAGAGGGGGAUAACGGCUGGAAACGGUCGCUAAUACCGCAUGAUGUGUUCGGAUGGCAUCAUCUGAACAUCAAAGAUUUAUCGCUGAAAGAUGGGCUCGCGUCUGAUUAGAUAGUUGGUGGGGUAACGGCCUACCAAGUCUACGAUCAGUAGCCGGACUGAGAGGUUGAACGGCCACAUUGGGACUGAGAUACGGCCCAGACUCCUACGGGAGGCAGCAGUGGGGAAUAUUGCACAAUGGGGGAAACCCUGAUGCAGCAACGCCGCGUGAAGGAUGACGGUUUUCGGAUUGUAAACUUCUUUUCUUAGUGACGAAGACAGUGACGGUAGCUAAGGAAUAAGCAUCGGCUAACUACGUGCCAGCAGCCGCGGUAAUACGUAGGAUGCAAGCGUUAUCCGGAUUUACUGGGUGUAAAGGGAGCGCAGGCGGGACUGCAAGUUGGAUGUGAAAUACCGUGGCUUAACCACGGAACUGCAUCCAAAACUGUAGUUCUUGAGUGAAGUAGAGGCAAGCGGAAUUCCGAGUGUAGCGGUGAAAUGCGUAGAUAUUCGGAGGAACACCAGUGGCGAAGGCGGCUUGCUGGGCUUUAACUGACGCUGAGGCUCGAAAGUGUGGGGAGCAAACAGGAUUAGAUACCCUGGUAGUCCACACUGUAAACGAUGAUAGCUAGGUGUGGGGGGUCUGACCCCUUCCGUGCCGGAGUUAACGCAAUAAGCUAUCCACCUGGGGAGUACGACCGCAAGGUUGAAACUC